AUUGAACGCUGGCGGCAUGCUUUAUACAUGCAAGUCGAACGGUAACAGGCCGCAAGGUGCUGACGAGUGGCGAACGGGUGAGUAAUGCAUCGGAACGUGCCCAGUCGUGGGGGAUAACUACUCGAAAGAGUAGCUAAUACCGCAUACGAUCCAUGGAUGAAAGCGGGGGACCGUAAGGCCUCGCGCGAUUGGAGCGGCCGAUGUCAGAUUAGGUAGUUGGUGGGGUAAAGGCUCACCAAGCCAACGAUCUGUAGCUGGUCUGAGAGGACGACCAGCCACACUGGGACUGAGACACGGCCCAGACUCCUACGGGAGGCAGCAGUGGGGAAUUUUGGACAAUGGGCGCAAGCCUGAUCCAGCAAUGCCGCGUGCAGGAAGAAGGCCUUCGGGUUGUAAACUGCUUUUGUACGGAACGAAACGGCUCUGGUUAAUACCCGGGGCUAAUGACGGUACCGUAAGAAUAAGCACCGGCUAACUACGUG
This 482-nucleotide ribosomal RNA is filed under the name uncultured bacterium. RNAcentral describes it as "partial 16S ribosomal RNA". It matches the Rfam family "Bacterial small subunit ribosomal RNA", at positions 30 to 507 of the family's 1533-position model. The record is from RNAcentral.